Molecule: ribosomal RNA, 503 nt
Filed under: uncultured bacterium
Lineage: Bacteria
Description: bacterial SSU rRNA
Rfam family: Bacterial small subunit ribosomal RNA
Source: RNAcentral
GAUCAUGGCUCAGAUUGAACGCUGGCGGCAGGCCUAACACAUGCAAGUCGAACGGUAACAGGAAGAAGCUUGCUUCUUUGCUGACGAGUGGCGGACGGGUGAGUAAUGUCUGGGAAACUGCCUGAUGAGGGGGAUAACUACUGGAAACGGUAGCUAAUACCGCAUAACGUCGCAAGACCAAAGAGGGGGGACCUUCGGGCCUCUUGCCAUCGGAUGUGCCCAGAUGGGAUUAGCUAGUAGGUGGGGUAACGGCUCACCUAGGCGACGAUCCCUAGCUGGUCUGAGAGGAUGACCAGCCACACUGGAACUGAGACACGGUCCAGACUCCUACGGGAGGCAGCAGUGGGGAAUAUUGCACAAUGGGCGCAAGCCUGAUGCAGCCAUGCCGCGUGUAUGAAGAAGGCCUUCGGGUUGUAAAGUACUUUCAGCGGGGAGGAAGGGAGUAAAGUUAAUACCUUUGCUCAUUGACGUUACCCGCAGAAGAAGCACCGGCUAACUCCGUG